Molecule: long non-coding RNA, 1043 nt
Organism: Daphnia carinata
Lineage: Eukaryota; Metazoa; Arthropoda; Branchiopoda; Diplostraca; Daphniidae
Exons: 4
Source: RefSeq, a predicted model, not a curated record
AAAAGAGUACAUGCCGCCAUCUGCGAAGACGCUUACUGCACUAGUUGACGUUGAUUUGAACGUGCACGCAAGAGUAGUCUGGUGAAUGUUUGAAUUUCUAGAGCUUUGUUUUUUGAAAUUGGAAGAAUGGUUGUUUGAUUUUAGGCAUCGACCAUGGAGGGCCCAGCAAUUCUUCACUGAAUCUGUAUAUGUUGGACACAAAUAUUUUUAAAGCUGCCAGUGGUAUUUAGAUAUCACAACAUUUGGAUGGCUCUGGUAUUCCAUAAAGUGAGGCUUUUGAGUAAGUAAAUAAUUUAUUUUCAUAAAAAGAGUUCUUUGGUUUAGAUUGCAACUUAGUGAGGUAUUGGCAAACUAGCCAUUCACAUCUGCAAUGUAUAAGAGUUAUCCCUGUAUCUAGCUACAUAUGAGUGGGGGGAGUGGAGUUUGGUGCCAGUAGAAUUGAAUGAAGGAUUGAAUUUUGGAUUAUAUCCAAUUUUCUUGUUAGUGGAGAUCUGCUCUGAAAGACAAUCAGGUUUCAGGUUCAAAUUCUCUCUGACCAGGAUUGUGAAUAUGUUGGCUCCUCAAGAGACUUUAUCCACUAGCUCUAGCAGAUGAGGUUGGUAAGAAGAGUUAUGAAUAUGUCAAUGAAAAUGUGCUGUUAAGUAAUGGAUAAAUCACAAUCUAGUUUGAUUUCAUUAUCAGAUUAGAUCUGAAAAUAAUUGUACAUGUUCAUGGUAAAGAAUUGGUAUUACUUUGUCAACUAUUUUAAACAUUAUAGAAGGUCAUGCAUUAGACUUCCAGAGUUGGUUAAGUGGACAUGGUGCUGGAUAUGAGAAGGAACCUCUAUCGUAACAUUGCAUUCACACUACCUGGGAUGCUGAAAAUUUUUGGGGUAAUUGGCGUUCCGUACAAGUGAACCAUCAGUCUACUACGAACGCCGGUUGACCAACUUUUAUACAGACAACUGUUAGCUGUUAACCGUUUAUUAGAUUACUUGCAUUGCCAUCAAACGGCAACUGUUGAAAAUCGAACGAGAGAUUUAAAUAAACUUCACCCACAACGAA